This 1489-nucleotide ribosomal RNA is filed under the name uncultured Bacteroides sp. RNAcentral's name for it is "bacterial SSU rRNA". It matches the Rfam family "Bacterial small subunit ribosomal RNA". The record is from RNAcentral. Lineage: Bacteria; Pseudomonadati; Bacteroidota; Bacteroidia; Bacteroidales; Bacteroidaceae.
AGAGUUUGAUCCUGGCUCAGGAUGAACGCUAGCUACAGGCUUAACACAUGCAAGUCGAGGGGCAUCAGGAAGAAAGCUUGCUUUCUUUGCUGGCGACCGGCGCACGGGUGAGUAACACGUAUCCAACCUGCCCUUUACUCGGGGAUAGCCUUUCGAAAGAAAGAUUAAUACCCGAUGGCAUAAUGAUUCCGCAUGGUUUCAUUAUUAAAGGAUUCCGGUAAAGGAUGGGGAUGCGUUCCAUUAGGUUGUUGGUGAGGUAACGGCUCACCAAGCCUUCGAUGGAUAGGGGUUCUGAGAGGAAGGUCCCCCACAUUGGAACUGAGACACGGUCCAAACUCCUACGGGAGGCAGCAGUGAGGAAUAUUGGUCAAUGGGCGCUAGCCUGAACCAGCCAAGUAGCGUGAAGGAUGAAGGCUCUAUGGGUCGUAAACUUCUUUUAUAUAAGAAUAAAGUGCAGUAUGUAUACUGUUUUGUAUGUAUUAUAUGAAUAAGGAUCGGCUAACUCCGUGCCAGCAGCCGCGGUAAUACGGAGGAUCCGAGCGUUAUCCGGAUUUAUUGGGUUUAAAGGGAGCGUAGGUGGACUGGUAAGUCAGUUGUGAAAGUUUGCGGCUCAACCGUAAAAUUGCAGUUGAUACUGUCAGUCUUGAGUACAGUAGAGGUGGGCGGAAUUCGUGGUGUAGCGGUGAAAUGCUUAGAUAUCACGAAGAACUCCGAUUGCGAAGGCAGCUCACUGGACUGCAACUGACACUGAUGCUCGAAAGUGUGGGUAUCAAACAGGAUUAGAUACCCUGGGUAGUCCACACAGUAAACGAUGAAUACUCGCUGUUUUGCGAUAUACAGUAAGCGGCCAAGCGAAAAGCAUUAAGUAUUCCACCUGGGGAGUACGCCGGCAACGGUGAAACUCAAAGGAAUUGACGGGGGCCCGCACAAGCGGAGGAACAUGUGGUUUAAUUCGAUGAUACGCGAGGAACCUUACCCGGGCUUAAAUUGCAGUGGAAUGAUGUGGAAACAUGUCAGUGAGCAAUCACCGCUGUGAAGGUGCUGCAUGGUUGUCGUCAGCUCGUGCCGUGAGGUGUCGGCUUAAGUGCCAUAACGAGCGCAACCCUUAUCUUCAGUUACUAACAGGUCAUGCUGAGGACUCUGGAGAGACUGCCGUCGUAAGAUGUGAGGAAGGUGGGGAUGACGUCAAAUCAGCACGGCCCUUACGUCCGGGGCUACACACGUGUUACAAUGGGGGGUACAGAAGGCAGCUAGCGGGUGACCGUAUGCUAAUCCCAAAAGCCUCUCUCAGUUCGGAUCGAAGUCUGCAACCCGACUUCGUGAAGCUGGAUUCGCUAGUAAUCGCGCAUCAGCCACGGCGCGGUGAAUACGUUCCCGGGCCUUGUACACACCGCCCGUCAAGCCAUGGGAGCCGGGGGUACCUGAAGUACGUAACCGCAAGGAUCGUCCUAGGGUAAAACUGGUGACUGGGGCUAAGUCGUAACAAGGU